This 250-nucleotide ribosomal RNA is filed under the name uncultured bacterium. RNAcentral's name for it is "partial 16S ribosomal RNA". It matches the Rfam family "Bacterial small subunit ribosomal RNA", at positions 28 to 280 of the family's 1533-position model. The record is from RNAcentral.
GAUGAACGCUGGCGGCGUGCCUAAUACAUGCAAGUCGUACGAGUGUAGCAAUACACUAGUGGCGAACGGGUGAGUAACACGUAGGUAACCUGCCUUGAAGCUUGGGAUACCCGAGGGAAACUUCGGCUAAUACCGGAUAUGAUCAUUAGAGGCAUCUCUGAUGAUUAAAAGACGCAGCAAUGCGUCACUUCGAGAUGGGCCUGCGGCGCAUUAGCUAGUUGGUGAGGUAACGGCUCACCAAGGCAUCGAU